GAUGGAGCAGUGAAGGCAUACCCCAAGCACCAUUCUGCAAGGCGAUUAGCCAAGCCUGCCCCAUCAAUGACAGGAAGCCCAAAGGGGCUGCAGGAAAGAAUAAAGCAUCAGACAAAAAAAGUGCAGAUAAAAGGGAAGAGGGGAGAGAAGGGCAAACAGGCUGAAGUGGCUGACCAGCAAACUAGAGAACUGCCUGCAGAAAAUGGAGAGACAGAAAACCAGAGUGCAGCCUCUGAAAAAGAGAAAGAAGCCAAGUCCGACUAA
This 264-nucleotide long non-coding RNA is filed under the name Mus musculus (house mouse). Its description in RNAcentral is "long non-coding RNA chr7:103829635-103829899". The record is from RNAcentral. Lineage: Eukaryota; Metazoa; Chordata; Mammalia; Rodentia; Muridae.